Molecule: long non-coding RNA, 653 nt
Filed under: Homo sapiens (human)
Lineage: Eukaryota; Metazoa; Chordata; Mammalia; Primates; Hominidae
Description: long intergenic non-protein coding RNA 2749
Source: RNAcentral
ACUCUAACUUUGGGCAGGACUUCUAAGAGCUUCUAAUCUGUAACUCCUUUUUGUACACCAACCCCAACCACCCAGCCUUGGGAAACUGAGUGUACAAGGCCUCAGCCUGGGUACACCGAAAGGAAGCAGAGAGGAGAAGCGAGUCAAGAAGCUUGAGAUCUGACACAGGAUGACACAGCAAGAAGGCCCUCACCAGAUGCUGAGCAGAUGCCGGCACCAUGCCUGUGGACUUCCCAGCCUCCAGAACUGUAAACGCUGCAUUUCUACAACAGCCACCUGUGCAGGCCCUGCAUGCUCUGUAACCUGGGGAUUUGGUCUUCUGAAAAGGGCACCAGAGAAAAACUGCUCUUAAGCCUCUGUUAACUGACACAGCAGUAGAACUCCAAGGUGUUGAUCCUUGGAUUCAUGUUUCUCAACUUCAGAGACACACAUCACUCCUUCCUGACCACUGGGCAUCCAUCCCACCAGGAGCUCCUAAUCUGAGAGCUGUUAGAAAUCCUCCAAAAGUGCUGACUGCAGAAGUUGGUAGCUUCUGCUCAAGAUGACAGAACAAGAUUAACUUUUGUAUUCUUCAGCACCUUUUUUAUUUUCCAUUAUCACACUUUGAUACCCUCUAAAACAUUAAAACACCUUCUAGAAUGCUUAUGUGAUCA